This 307-nucleotide long non-coding RNA is filed under the name Manihot esculenta (cassava). RNAcentral's name for it is "long non-coding RNA (MESC_LNC000458)". The record is from RNAcentral. Lineage: Eukaryota; Viridiplantae; Streptophyta; Magnoliopsida; Malpighiales; Euphorbiaceae.
AGCAAAACCUAAAGGGAGGUGAAAAAACAACUUACCAUUAGAAGCAUUUCUCUAAUUGAAGAUCCAAGCUCCUCACGAGAGCGAGAUCGGAAGGACACUUGCUCCUUGGUAGAACUGGCUAAAAGACCAGUCAGGGCAAGAAGACGAGGAUCUGAAGCCUCUGUAAUUCCGUCGAACAUCCGCUCCCUAAGCAGUUCGGCGACAGCACUGGCCGGAGACUCGGGGGUAAUGUCCGACGCAUUCAGAACGUUCCCGGAAGGAGACAAUGAAGGCACAGCAGGAACACCUUUCUUUUUCCCAAGGGGAG